Molecule: ribosomal RNA, 407 nt
Filed under: uncultured bacterium
Lineage: Bacteria
Description: partial 16S ribosomal RNA
Rfam family: Bacterial small subunit ribosomal RNA
Source: RNAcentral
AUUGAACGCUGGCGGCAGGCCUAACACAUGCAAGUCGAGCGGAGCGGCGGAAGGGUGAGUAAUGCCUAGGAAUCUGCCUGGUAGUGGGGGAUAACGUCCGGAAACGGGCGCUAAUACCGCAUACUAUCAGAUGAGCCUAGGUCGGAUUAGUUAGUUGGUGGGGGAAAGGCCUACCAAGGCGACGAUCCGUAACUGGUCUGAGAGGAUGAUCAGUCACCCUGGAACGUAUACACGGUCCAGGCUCCUACGGGAGGCAGCAUUGUGGAAUAUUGGACAUUGUGCGAAAGCCUGAUCCAGCCAUGCCGCCUGUGUGAAGAAGGUCUUCGGAUUGUAAAGCACUUUAAGUUGGGAGGCGUUACCAACAGAAUAAGCACCGGCUAACUUCGUGCCAGCAGCCGCGGUAAUAC